This 63-nucleotide transfer RNA is filed under the name Trichonephila clavata. RNAcentral's name for it is "tRNA-Arg". It matches the Rfam family "tRNA", at positions 8 to 63 of the family's 71-position model. Rfam says of the family: Transfer RNA (tRNA) molecules are approximately 80 nucleotides in length. Their secondary structure includes four short double-helical elements and three loops (D, anti-codon, and T loops). Further hydrogen bonds mediate the characteristic L-shaped molecular structure. tRNAs have two regions of fundamental functional importance: the anti-codon, which is responsible for specific mRNA codon recognition, and the 3' end, to which the tRNAs corresponding amino acid is attached (by aminoacyl-tRNA synthetases). tRNAs cope with the degeneracy of the genetic code in two manners: having more than one tRNA (with a specific anti-codon) for a particular amino acid; and 'wobble' base-pairing, i.e. permitting non-standard base-pairing at the 3rd anti-codon position. Lineage: Eukaryota; Metazoa; Arthropoda; Arachnida; Araneae; Nephilidae. The record is from RNAcentral.
GUAGAGCAAUGGGUAGCGCGUUGGACUUCUAAUCCAAAGGUCGUGGGUUCCAAUCACACAUCG